This 2649-nucleotide unclassified non-coding RNA is filed under the name Drosophila yakuba. Its description in RNAcentral is "GE18580". Lineage: Eukaryota; Metazoa; Arthropoda; Insecta; Diptera; Drosophilidae. The record is from RNAcentral.
CCGACAAGGAAGUGCGAGGAAGAAGAAGAGGAAGAGGGAGGAGAAGAGAAGAGAAGCGAAGCCGCUGCGUUUAUAUAUUAAAUAUAUAGCUUUUUUUAAUUAGUCACGUUGAGUUCCGAGUGCCGUGUUAAGUGGAAGUAUUUAUUUAGGCCCUUAAUUUAAUCAAUCCGACCUCGAGUGUCCGUGUGCGUUAACAGUAAACGUGAAGCGUAUUGGUAUUGGUAAUUGGCUGCCGCUAAAUUGAAAGUUUCAAGUUUUCCCGUUCAUUAUUCGCGUCGACCGUGUAAAAAUUGAGUUUCGAGAUCGCAAAUAUGUUCACCAGUCGCGCUUCGUUUUUGGCCAAUCGCCGCAUGAUUUUCGAUUUCUCCGAGAAGAACAACGACAUCUACUUGGAUGCUUUUGGUAUGAGUGAUAAGAGCAGCAGUGCAACGAACAGCCUGCCAAAUAGUCCCAUACACAGCAACAACAACAAUCCUUCGCUGCUGAACAACAACAACAAUAACAACAGCAGCACCAGCAACAGCAACAACAGCCUAAACGUCGGCAACAACAACAGCAAUCCGAGCCUGGGCGGCAGCAACAGCAACGCACUGGUUUCCGUGGGCAGUAACGGUAUAAUGUCCGCCGCCGGUUUGGUCAACAACAACAACAAUCCGUGCAGCGCCAACCGCAAUGUGGUCGCCAUGGUCGACGACGACGCCUGCUUCCGGCUGGACACGGAUGCCACGGUGACGUACGGCGAGAAGGAACCGGAUCCGGACAACAUCAAGAUGUUCGUCGGCCAGGUCCCCAAAUCGAUGGACGAGUCGCAGCUGCGCGAGAUGUUCGAGGAGUACGGCGCCGUCCACUCGAUCAAUGUGCUGCGGGACAAGGCCACCGGAAUAAGCAAGGGUUGCUGCUUUGUGACGUUUUAUACGAGACGCGCCGCCCUGAAAGCCCAGGAUGCUUUGCAUAAUGUUAAGACGCUAAAUGGGAUGUACCAUCCCAUUCAAAUGAAACCCGCCGAUAGCGAGAAUCGCAAUGAACGCAAACUGUUUGUGGGUAUGCUAAACAAGAAGCUGAACGAGAACGACGUUCGCAAGCUAUUUGAAGUCCACGGAGCCAUCGAGGAGUGCACCGUUCUUCGGGACCAGAACGGACAGAGCAAGGGUUGUGCCUUCGUCACAUUCGCCACCAAACACGCUGCCAUUUCGGCCAUUAAAGUGACCCUGAGCCAGAACAAGAUCAUGGAGGGCUGCACAUCGCCGCUGGUCGUCAAGUUCGCCGACACGCAAAAGGAGAAGGAGCAGAAGAAGAUCCAGCAGAUUCAGGCCAACCUCUGGAACCUGGCCAGCAACAUCAACAUCCCGCUGGGCCAAACGGCCACCAGCGUGACCACGCCCAUCCUGCCCAAUCCGCCCCAGCAGCCUUCGCCGGUGCUCGGCGCCGAUGCCAUCACCCCGGCCUCCAUCCAACUGCUGCAGCAACUGCAGGCGGUUGGGCUGCAGCAGCAGUUGCUGCAAGCCCUCACAGGACUGGGAGCCCAGCAGAGCAGCUCGGCGACGGACACCAGCGCAGUUGCGGCCGCAGGACUUCUGACCCCGAUGACCGUCCAGAAUCUGGCGGCCAUUGCGGCCAUGACGCAGCCGAGUCUCUCGAAUGCCGCCGCGGCAGCAGCCGCUGCCUCAUCGCCUGGAAGCGCCCAACUGACCAACACGGCUGCGCUGCUCUGGUCCGAUCCGAAUCCCCUGGCAUCGGCUUAUAUGUCAACAGCCGCCGGUCUGCCGCAAUUCGGGAGCGCCAGUGCAUUGUCCACUUCGCCGCUGGCCAGCGUUGCCCUCAGCGCCGCAGCCGCCGCCGCGGCGGGAAAGCAGAUUGAAGGACCCGAGGGCUGCAACCUUUUCAUCUACCAUCUGCCGCAGGAGUUCACCGAUACGGAUCUGGCCUCCACGUUCCUGCCCUUCGGCAAUGUGAUCUCGGCCAAGGUGUUCAUCGACAAGCAGACCAGCCUGUCGAAGUGCUUCGGCUUCGUCUCGUUCGACAACCCGGACUCGGCCCAGGUGGCCAUAAAGGCGAUGAACGGCUUCCAGGUGGGCACCAAGCGCCUCAAGGUGCAGCUGAAGAAGCCCAAGGACUCGAAGCCCUACUAGAGGCCACCAUCGGCAGCGAGGACACAUCCCCGGACACAUCGAGUAGAGAGGAAUACUGAGAUUUGUGAAAUAUGGAGUAGUCAAUGAAUGAAGAGUUGCCCGUGUAGAGCGCGCGUUGCAAGAGUAAACGAUGAUGCGAAUGCCAACGUUAUGGUAUGUUGUUUGCAAAGUUUCGCCACUUAUUUAAUUUUUGGAAAGGCAAUGUCAGGUGGUAGUUGAUGCAAGCCGCCAGUUGAAAGUUGAAUGCGAGUCGUUUUUACAAGACGCGUUGGUCCUUGAAAUAUGUAAAUAAUACCCGCUUGAGUCUCGAGAAUCCUAGAAGAGAUUGCCUAUUCCACUGCUGUCGCAAAAAAAAUUUCCAAGAACUGUAAAUUUAAAUACCACAAAAAUAAUGGAAAAUCUGUAAAAACCAAAAAAACUAAUAUGCAAUCAUGUUGUACGAUAGCCAAGAAAGCCAUUUUAUAAGCUUGUAAAGCAAACUAAUUUUAACAAAGUAAAUUUAUGAGAAUACGGAAUAAUA